UUAAGUUCAGCGGGUAUCCCUACCUGAUCCGAGGUCAAAAACUAGGAGUAUGGGGGGUGUUAGGGGCCAAAGCGCUCACGUUCCCAUUGCGAGAUAAAAUUUACUACGCUUUGGUUGCGUGGCUUUUCGCCAUUGGAUUUCGCAGAGGAGGCUUGACGCUUCCAAAGCAAGACCAACCUAUGAUGACAAUAAUCAAAGAU
Molecule: unclassified non-coding RNA, 200 nt
Filed under: fungal sp.
Lineage: Eukaryota; Fungi
Description: partial internal transcribed spacer 2
Source: RNAcentral